GAUGAACGCUGGCGGCGUGCCUAAUACAUGCAAGUAGAACGCUGAAGGAGGAGCUUGCUCUUCUGGAUGAGUUGCGAACGGGUGAGUAACGCGUAGGUAACCUGCCUGGUAGCGGGGGAUAACUAUUGGAAACGAUAGCUAAUACCGCAUGACAACAGUUAUUGCAUGAUAACUGUUUAAAAGGGGCAACUGCUCCACUACCAGAUGGACCUGCGUUGUUAUAGCUAGUUGGUGAGGUAACGGCUCAACAAGGCGACGAUACAUAGCCGGCCUGAGAGGGGGGUCGGCCAAACUGGGACUGGGGCACGGCCCAGGCUCCUACGGGAGGCAGCCGUAGGGAAUCUUCGGCAAUGGACGGAAGUCUGACCGAGGCACGCCGCGUGAGGGAAGGAGGGUUUCGGAUCGUAAAGCUCUGUUGUAAGGGAAGAACGAGUGUGAGAGUGGAAAGUUCACACUGUGACGGUAUCUGACCAGAAAGGGACGGCUAACUACGUG
This 495-nucleotide ribosomal RNA is filed under the name uncultured bacterium. Its description in RNAcentral is "partial 16S ribosomal RNA". It matches the Rfam family "Bacterial small subunit ribosomal RNA", at positions 28 to 507 of the family's 1533-position model. The record is from RNAcentral.